AUUAUAAUUGCAAGAAGACAUUAAUGCCAGAGUUUUGUGACAAAAAAAAAACAAGAAAGUUUAAUUAUAAGAUUGAAAUUGACAAACAAGGAUUUCGACAGGUCGAAUAAAGCGUCGAUUGGGAUUAUAAAUGGUUCCAAUUUUGAUUGUUGCAUACGCCAUCAUGCUGCAUACAGUGACAUUGGCAACGGCAACAACUGCAAAUGGUCACAUUGUUAAAAGAAGUUAUUCCGACCAAAGCGUUCAUGGUUACAUGACCGAGCGAACUUGUUG
This is a long non-coding RNA of Calliphora vicina (urban bluebottle blowfly), 273 nucleotides long. RefSeq lists it as uncharacterized. The transcript has 3 exons. The record is from RefSeq and is a predicted model, not a curated record. Lineage: Eukaryota; Metazoa; Arthropoda; Insecta; Diptera; Calliphoridae.